This 1381-nucleotide long non-coding RNA is filed under the name Nicotiana tabacum (common tobacco). RNAcentral describes it as "long non-coding RNA (NTAB_LNC002182)". The record is from RNAcentral. Lineage: Eukaryota; Viridiplantae; Streptophyta; Magnoliopsida; Solanales; Solanaceae.
CUUUGCUUUACAACUAGUGGAUUAAAACAUACCUACUUCAUUGGAUUACAACAAAUGGCACCCGGUGAGAGCUUUGUAGGUGCUACAAGGAAUUGUUUGCAACUUGUGUGCGAAUUCAUUAUCAUCGACAAUAGUUGGAUGUUUCAAAAUAGUAGCUUAGUACUUUUCAUUUAUCUUUAUGCUACUGCUACAUUGUAUUUGGUAGGAAUAACCAUUGGCUUUCUUUGUUUGAUUUAUUUCUCUUUUACUUGAACAUUGUGUAACUUUUUCCCAGUUUAGGAAUUAUUAUAUAUAACAGCUACUAGGUGAAUAACUUAGUAGUAUAUUUGCUUUUAAAAUAAACUACCCUUCCAACCCCUAUUUUUUAAAAUUUUCUUUUAGUAUUAGGCUUGGGCCAGAGGCCAACAGGCCCAAAAUCAAGGUCUAGCCCACCAAUCCUUUCUCAACUCACCCCCUAAUCUAGUGAGUCUGCCAAGACCAGGUCCAAUUCCAAACAAAUCCCAAGCGGCCAAACAAACUAGAUGUCGAAAUUCAAAAUUGAAAACUAAGUAAACCACUUUGAAAUUGAAACAAAUUCUAGAACUACAAUCUAUACUAGCAUAUGCAAAUAAUUGAGCAAUUAAAGUUACCUUAAAACUUGCAAUUACUAAUUGAAAUUACAGCAUGUAUUUAAUUAUCAAGCCACCUAAACACUAAUUGAUUCCAAAUUAUUGAUUAAACAUGCUCGGACAGAAUUCAUCGAGACACAUCAAUUAGAAAGAAUUAUACAGAAGGGGAGGAGUGUAUACCAAAUCUGCUAUACACCCGAUCAGCGUCAAAGAAAUGCGGUGAUUGUAAUGAAUUCUGGUGACGAUCAAUAGAACUCCGGUGAGCAAAGAGGAUUGUCACAUGAGCAUUGGCCGACAAAUGUUUAUGCGAUCCAGUGCUACAUGUAACAAUGCUCAUUACAAGCCGAAUUGAAGAAGAAAAGAUGAAGUUUGGGGAAGUUCGGCCUGUCUACGACGGUCAACGAUGUUUCGGCCACCGAAAAAUGGUAAAAAAAUGACCUCAAACGAAAGGUCUUUCCGAGACGUAUCAUUUGAUGUAAAAUUUAGGUAAAGAGGAGGUCGGGUUGAUAGUAAUUUAGCAAAGGGGCAAAAAAGUUGGGACUUUUAUUCCUAGGUCUUCUAAUCGGCAGGAUUGGGAGGUUUUUUGGGGGGAAAUGAUGUUGGAUUAAGGGUGAGGAGGUGGUGAGGAGUAUUUGAUAAUUUUUUGGGUGGAUUAGUGUUGAUCCGCCGCCGGAUGGCGAUUUUCGGGUAGUGGAAGACGGCGAAGUAAGGUGGCUAAUUUGAGAGAAUGAGAGAAUUGGGGGCAUCUAGGGUUUGGCAUAGUGGGGGGGCUG